GCAUGCUAAUGGAUUUAUGGUGUGCCCUUCUCUGUGGGCCUGUCAUAGUGUACCCAUGCCAGAGUAAACCGCAGCCCCAAACCAUUGCCCAGCCUCCUUACCUGUGUGCUGUGGGCACUGAAGGGGCUUGCACAGCG
Molecule: small nucleolar RNA, 137 nt
Filed under: Propithecus coquereli (Coquerel's sifaka)
Lineage: Eukaryota; Metazoa; Chordata; Mammalia; Primates; Indriidae
Description: Small nucleolar RNA SNORA42/SNORA80 family (ENSPCOG00000008141.1)
Rfam family: Small nucleolar RNA SNORA42/SNORA80 family
About the family: The members of this family belong to the H/ACA class of snoRNAs that guide the sites of modification of uridines to pseudouridines. Human ACA42 (SNORA42) was cloned from HeLa cells by immunoprecipitation with anti-GAR1 antibody.
Source: Rfam by way of RNAcentral